GCCCGCGUGGCACAAUUGGCUAGCGCGUGAGACUUUUAAUUACGGCACUAUGGUAGUAAUAGCAAUCUCAAGGUUCUGAGUUCGAGCCUCAGCGUGGGCG
This is a non-coding RNA of Tothia fuscella, 100 nucleotides long. Lineage: Eukaryota; Fungi; Ascomycota; Dothideomycetes; Venturiales; Cylindrosympodiaceae. The record is from the annotation of a GenBank genome assembly.